This 253-nucleotide ribosomal RNA is filed under the name uncultured bacterium. RNAcentral describes it as "partial 16S ribosomal RNA". It matches the Rfam family "Bacterial small subunit ribosomal RNA", at positions 524 to 776 of the family's 1533-position model. The record is from RNAcentral.
UACGUAGGGUGCAAGCGUUGUCCGGAAUUAUUGGGCGUAAAGAGCUUGUAGGCGGUUUGUCGCGUCUGCCGUGAAAAUUCGAGGCUCAACCUCGAACUUGCGGUGGGUACGGGCAGACUAGAGUGUGGUAGGGGAGACUGGAAUUCCUGGUGUAGCGGUGAAAUGCGCAGAUAUCAGGAGGAACACCGAUGGCGAAGGCAGGUCUCUGGGCAUUAACUGACGCUGAGGAGCGAAAGCAUGGGGAGCGAACAGG